Long non-coding RNA from Carassius auratus (goldfish), 902 nucleotides. RefSeq lists it as uncharacterized. NCBI's taxonomy places the organism in Eukaryota, Metazoa, Chordata, Actinopteri, Cypriniformes, Cyprinidae. The record is from RefSeq and is a predicted model, not a curated record. The transcript is spliced from 3 exons.
UGUAUGAUAUUCCAUCAUGUACGCAGAGUCUACCGUGAUUACAAGUUGUUUGGUUUACUUUAUUUUACAUGUUAUAUGUGUAGGCUGUGCGUAGCCACGAUUUAGCUCGUAUUCAGACCCGGCUAUUGUAGCCCACUUUUUGUCAAAACUGAUUAAUUGUAUUUUUUUGCCAGGCAGUGCAUGAAAUGGUUAAUAUUCAAUCAUGUUCGCAUUGGUAUGAUAUCAAGGUUCAAUACGUCAUUUCACGGCACGGUCGAUCACGAUUUAGCUCCGAAUUGCUAUUGAAACACUACUGAGACAUGUCUACUGGGACUAAUGCCAUUGCGUGACUAGAUCACUUUAGCCAAAUCUAACGAUAAACAUUUCCGCCAUUUUAUUUUACACGAGGCAGCUGUCGGAGAGCAACGGGUGAGCAACAGUCUGAGUGAAAACCUUCACAUUUCUACUUCGAUCUUAAGAAAGCCAUACAGGUUUGGAACCAAGUGAAAGUGGUGACCAUAGACCUGCAUUAUAUGACUGACAGACAAGAAUAGUUUGACCUAAAAAAUUGAAACCACUGCGGAAACAAAGACACCUACAUCUUGGAUGUCCUUAAGGUAAGCUAAAACAUACCAAAAUUUAAUUUCAAAGUGAACUAUCCCUUUAAACUUGAGGGAAGAACUAAAGUAGAAAUGAAAAUAAAAUCUGUUUUCACCUUCAUUAGAAUGAUAAUUUAAAAAAAUACUGUAUUUCAGUUUCAAAACACAUUAUGGUAGUAGUCAGACAUGUCUUGGGAGAACAGUGUUACAUAAUCAAUUAUAAUGUUAAUUUUAUUUCCAUAUUCAGAAGUUAUGGAUCCCAAAUAUCUAAGAGAAUGGCGUCGCUUGAGAGAUCGAGUUAAUGCUCUCGCUGAAAAUUAAUAG